AUGAUGUGCAACACCAACAUUUUUGACAUCCUCAUAAAGCUGGGUGGAUGCGAGCGCAUGUCUCGUAGGCCAUACGACAUCUAUCUUUACACCGACAACUUUAUGUUCGGCCGGCAUGCUGAAAAGCAAAAACUCUUGUGCUUCUUGUUGCAGCACAGACCUGCUGGUGAUGCAUCAGCCAUUCUUCCGAUCAUAGGUGGUGCCAAAGUUGGGAAGAAAAGUUUGGUUGCUCAUGUGUGUGGCGACGAAAGGGUUCGCUCGUGCUUCUCUUCUGUUUUGCACUUGAGUGUUAUUGAGUUUGGUUCUGAUGUAAGUGAUGAUGACUGGAAAAACUUCCACUCAUUUCUCUUAACAAUGGGCAGAGGAAGCCAUAUCAUCAUCAUAAGUAGAAUUCAAAGAUUAUCCCGCUUUGGAUCCGUAAAACCGAUUUUUCUUAGUGUUAUGUCUUAUGACGAGUGGAGGUACCUAUUCAAGACACUAGCAUUCAGGAGCGUAGACCCGGCAGAACAUCCACGUCUACUCAAAAUAGCAGAUGAAGUUGCCAGGCAGUUGCACACACAAGGUUCACUUGUCGCAACAAAUGCUUACGCAGAUUUGUUGAGAAGAAAUCUCAAUGCCCAGUUUUGGCAUUGCCUAUUGGACAAGGGGAUAAGGAUGAUUAAAAGAAACAUCGGCAUGUAUGGUGUGCAUCCAAGCAUGCUUAUAGAAGAAGGGCACCCGGUGGACAUAACGGACUUUGCUAUGCAUCCACUUAGCAUGAUACCUUAUACGACUAAUGUUUCAAUCAAGAAGGAAUCACCAAGUGUGACAUUUGGGGAGUUGCUAGCGGAUCCUAGUGUUAGACCGAAAGAAGACUUCAUUCUUAUUUCCUAG
Molecule: ribosomal RNA, 873 nt
Filed under: Triticum aestivum (bread wheat)
Lineage: Eukaryota; Viridiplantae; Streptophyta; Magnoliopsida; Poales; Poaceae
Description: partial small subunit ribosomal RNA
Source: RNAcentral